RNAcentral lists this ribosomal RNA (544 nucleotides) under uncultured bacterium. RNAcentral describes it as "bacterial SSU rRNA". It matches the Rfam family "Bacterial small subunit ribosomal RNA", at positions 358 to 916 of the family's 1533-position model. The record is from RNAcentral.
GGAAUUUUCCGCAAUGGGCGAAAGCCUGACGGAGCAACGCCGCGUGAGGGAUGAAGGCCUCUGGGCUGUAAACCUCUUUUCUCAAGGAAGAAGAACUGACGGUACUUGAGGAAUAAGCCACGGCUAAUUCCGUGCCAGCAGCCGCGGUAAUACGGGAGUGGCAAGCGUUAUCCGGAAUUAUUGGGCGUAAAGCGUCCGCAGGCGGCCUCGUAAGUCUGUCGUUAAAGCGUGGAGCUUAACUCCAUUUAAGCGAUGGAAACUGUGAGGCUUGAGUGUGGUAGGGGCAGAGGGAAUUCCCGGUGUAGCGGUGAAAUGCGUAGAUAUCGGGAAGAACACCAGUGGCGAAGGCGCUCUGCUGGGCCAUAACUGACGCUCAUGGACGAAAGCCAGGGGAGCGAAAGGGAUUAGAUACCCCUGUAGUCCUGGCCGUAAACGAUGAACACUAGGUGUCGGGGGAAUCGACCCCCUCGGUGUCGUAGCCAACGCGUUAAGUGCUCCGCCUGGGGAGUACGCACGCAAGUGUGAAACUCAAAGGAAUUGACGG